Molecule: long non-coding RNA, 351 nt
Organism: Magnolia sinica
Lineage: Eukaryota; Viridiplantae; Streptophyta; Magnoliopsida; Magnoliales; Magnoliaceae
Exons: 3
Source: RefSeq, a predicted model, not a curated record
UUAUUAAUAUUUUCUUUUAUUUCUUGAUCAUGUCUUUAAUGGAUUGUUUGUUUAUUCUUAGGUUCUAAUUGCAAGUUCUUUCUCAAAGAGUGACUACAAAAAGGUGAAAGAAAUUACUUAUUCUGUUCUGAAGACAGGAGCAUUUACUGGUGUUUUCUUAGCUAUCAUACUGGGUACAUGGUACAGUUCUAUUGCUGAAUUAUUCACUAAGGAUGUUGAAGUGCUAGGAAUUGUUAGGUCGGGGUUUCUGUUUGUCAGUGCCACUCAACCCAUCAAUGCUCUAUCUUUUGUUUUUGAUGGUCUCCAUUGUGGUGUUUCAGACUUCUCGUAUUCAGCUUUUUCUUCGCUAAG